GCCCUGUGUUGGAUAGUUGCUCUUUGGCGCAAGCUAAAGAGAGGAAAGUCCGAACACGCAUUUCCGGGCAUUGUCCGGAAUUAAACGUAGUGGGUAAUUCCCAUCGUCCGCAAGGAUAGAGGUGCGAACAGUGACGAACCGAUUAAGUUCGGGUGAAACGGCAAAAUCCUUACGCGCGCGCAAGAUCGUGCCCCGCCCUCUGGAUUAAUGAGCUAAAACUAACAGUAAAGUAAAGGUUGGUUGAUCCAGAGGGCGGGGAGAAUCGCUUGAGUCCGCGAGUAAUCGCGGACCUAGAUAAAUAGCCAUCAUUAGUCGCCUUUGCGGAAACGCUUUGGCAUACUGAAACAGAAUUCGGCUUAUAGACACAGAGCAAAA
This 375-nucleotide RNase P RNA is filed under the name Candidatus Nomurabacteria bacterium RIFCSPHIGHO2_01_FULL_41_71. RNAcentral's name for it is "RNase P RNA component class A". It matches the Rfam family "Bacterial RNase P class A". Rfam says of the family: Ribonuclease P (RNase P) is a ubiquitous endoribonuclease, found in archaea, bacteria and eukarya as well as chloroplasts and mitochondria. Its best characterised activity is the generation of mature 5'-ends of tRNAs by cleaving the 5'-leader elements of precursor-tRNAs. Cellular RNase Ps are ribonucleoproteins. RNAcentral also lists the same sequence under 3 other names. Lineage: Bacteria; Candidatus Nomuraibacteriota. The record is from RNAcentral.